This 362-nucleotide long non-coding RNA is filed under the name Mytilus galloprovincialis (Mediterranean mussel). Lineage: Eukaryota; Metazoa; Mollusca; Bivalvia; Mytilida; Mytilidae. The record is from RNAcentral.
CACGUCGUAUGGCAAUUCACACAGUGAACAAAAGAAAAUAAACUAACUUAUUCUCCAUGAAACUUAGAAACUUGGAUAAUUUGUAACUAUUAUUAAUAAACAUUUUUUUCCCUCUUUUGUAGGAAGAUGAAUAAAGAAUAACCAAAGAAUGUUUACGAUACAUUUUGAUAAUAAAUAUCUUAUUUAUACUUUCAUGUUAUUAUUGCCAUUAACUGGGUGGAUUAGGUAUAUAUAACAUCCAACGGUCUUUUGUGUAAACAACGGAUGUUUUAGUCAACAAUGUAUUAUACUAGUAUACCAUGAAUUUCAUUGUCUCAAUUUCUGCUUUCCUUUUCUGUUUAUAUCAGACCAGGAUUUUUUUU